UAGAUGUAAAAAGACAAUCUUUAAAUUGAGUUUGUUAUUCUUAAAUCUCGGUUUAGGUGGUGCCUUUGCUGUUGAGUCUGCUCCCAGGAUGCUCCUUGACUGAUAUUAUGUCCUGUGCCACUGCACAGUCAGUCAAAACCCUGCUGGUCGCAAAGAUUCAAGCUUUCAAAAUAGCAGCAUCCAAGGUGUCAAGAGGUGGCAGGAUGGCCCUUGCCAAAGAUGACAGCCAAUCACAAACAUCCUCACAGAAGUUACAGGCUGAGGAUGGUCCAGAGCGGAAGAUAAAGCCAUGUGUUGCUCCAGUAGAGCUGCACAGCAAGCUAGUCAAGAGAAAACAGAUGAAUCAAGCUGUGAAAAGAGCCCUGCAGCAGAGGCAGCCCCUGCACUAUGACGGGCCACGUCUGGCCCCUAUCCACUCUGUACGUGAGGAGCCUAGCACUCAGCAACGGCCAUAUGUGUGGAGGAAAUUUGGGGGCUUUGGGCUCAAUUGUUGAAGACUCAUUGGAAUGAAUCAUUCUCAGCAAUUCUGGUGACUGGGUAAUCUGUUACUCCCAUAAUACUUUGGGUUUACUGAAGUGAAAACUUAAAGGGAUACUACUUCACUCAAACAUGAAAAUUCAGUCAUCAUUUAAUCACCGUCAUGUCAUGACUUGACAGCUGUAUGACUUUAUUUCUUAUGUGGAGAAACAAACAAACAAAAAUGUUUUUGUUUUGUUUUUGAAGAACAUUCGAGUCCAAACAUCAUUGGACCCCACUGACUUUCACUAUAUAGACAAAACAUUUUUUUUUUCAAAAUGUCUUCUUUUGAGUUCCACAAAAGAGAGAGAAACACAUACAGGUUUGGAAUGAUAUCAAUCAUGUAUAUUUCCUUUUAGGUUAGAGAUUAUUUUGGCAUUACAUUUGAUUUAGUCAAUCCCUUGCUAUAAUGCAGUGGGAGUUGUUUUGUUCGUAGCAGCUGUUGCUGCUCAGAGGUCCUCAGCAGCUGGGGAAACAGCUGAGAAAGUGAGCGAGAGAAGAAAGCGAGAGAGAGAACAGUAUAAAAACACCACUGGCAGCUGAUCCCAGACUUUUAUCACAGACAUUUACACUCCCUUGCUAAUAGUGAAACACAUGUUUUCAGCCCCUAGAGAAGACAGCCCGAGAUUUUUGGCAUAGUAAUAAUGGAACAAUCAGACGUCAUUUUCUGACAUUUAUUGUCUUUGUGCAAAAAGAAAACAUACAUGAAAUAAAGACUUUAAUUUCUGUAAUUGACCAUUCAGUCCAGUCUGCAGUUAUGUAGGCUGUGAAAAGGGCAUUCUCUCAGCUGUGUGGUGAUUUAAAAUCUUUACUAGACUUGCAGCUUAUCUUUGUAGAUGACAUGAAGUAAAACAAAUAUAUUUAUAAAACAAAUUUCUGUGGUUCAGUCCUUAUUGCAGUUUUAAAAUUAUCAAAAAUGAAAGAGGUUUAAGGCAUAUCCUUCAUGGCAGUGUGAGGAUAUUUG
Ctenopharyngodon idella (grass carp) is the source of this 1480-nucleotide long non-coding RNA. RefSeq lists it as uncharacterized. The transcript is spliced from 3 exons. The record is from RefSeq and is a predicted model, not a curated record. NCBI's taxonomy places the organism in Eukaryota, Metazoa, Chordata, Actinopteri, Cypriniformes, Xenocyprididae.